RNAcentral lists this ribosomal RNA (835 nucleotides) under uncultured archaeon. Its description in RNAcentral is "bacterial SSU rRNA". It matches the Rfam family "Archaeal small subunit ribosomal RNA", at positions 1 to 843 of the family's 1478-position model. The record is from RNAcentral.
UUCCGGUUGAUCCUGCCGGACCUGACUGCUAUCGGAUUGAUACUAAGCCAUGCGAGUCUUUGCAGCAAUGCAAGGCGGACUGCUCAGUAACGCGUAGUCAAUCUACCCUAUGGAUGGGGAUAACCUCGGGAAACUGAGAAUAAUACCCAAUAGAUCAUAAUGCCUGGAAUGGUUUAUGGUUCAAAUGAUUUUUCGCCGUAGGAUGGGACUGCGUUCUAUCAGCUUGUUGGUGAGGUAAUGGCCCACCAAGGCUAUAACAGAUACGGGCUCUGAGAGGAGACGCCCGGAGAUGGGUACUGAGACACGGACCCAGGCCCUAUGGGGCGCAGCAGGCGAGAAAACUUUGCAAUGUGCGAAAGCACGACAAGGUUAAUCCGAGUGUUUUCUGCUAAAGAAAUCUUUUGUCAGUCAUAAAACCACUAACGAAUAAGGGGUGGGCAAGUUCUGGUGUCAGCCGCCGCGGUAAAACCAGCACCUCAAGUGGUCAGGAGGAUUAUUGGGCCUAAAGCAUCCGUAGCCUGCUGUAUAAGUUUUCGGUUAAAUCCAUGUGCUCAACACAUGGGCUGCCGGGAAUACUGUACAGCUAGGGAGUGGGAGAGGUAGACGGUACUCGGUAGGAAGUGGUAAAAUGCUUUGAUCUAUCGAUGACCACCUGUGGCGAAGGCGGUCUACCAGAACACGUUCGACGGUGAGGGAUGAAAGCUGGGGGAGCAAACCGGAUUAGAUACCCGGGUAGUCCCAGCUGUAAACUAUGCAAACUAAGUGAUGCGUUGGCUUGUGGCCAGCGCAGUGCCUCAGGGAAGCCGUUAAGUUUGCCGCCUGGGAAGUACGUACG